This 448-nucleotide ribosomal RNA is filed under the name uncultured bacterium. Its description in RNAcentral is "bacterial SSU rRNA". It matches the Rfam family "Bacterial small subunit ribosomal RNA", at positions 30 to 524 of the family's 1533-position model. The record is from RNAcentral.
AUUGAACGCUGGCGGCAUGCCUAACACAUGCAAGUCGAACGAGACCUUCGGGUCUAGUGGCGCACGGGUGCGUAACGCGUGGGAAUCUGCCCUUAGGUUCGGAAUAACUUCGGGAAACUGAAGCUAAUACCGGAUGAUGACGUAAGUCCAAAGAUUUAUCGCCUAAGGAUGAGCCCGCGUUGGAUUAGCUAGUUGGUGAGGUAAAGGCUCACCAAGGCGACGAUCCAUAGCUGGUCUGAGAGGAUGAUCAGCCACACUGGGACUGAGACACGGCCCAGACUCCUACGGGAGGCAGCAGUGGGGAAUAUUGGACAAUGGGCGAAAGCCUGAUCCAGCAAUGCCGCGUGAGUGAUGAAGGCCUUAGGGUUGUAAAGCUCUUUUACCCGGGAUGAUAAUGACAGUACCGGAGAAUAAGCCCGGCUAACUCCGUGCCAGCAGCCGCGGUAAU